Non-coding RNA from Emericellopsis atlantica, 95 nucleotides. Lineage: Eukaryota; Fungi; Ascomycota; Sordariomycetes; Hypocreales; Bionectriaceae. The record is from the annotation of a RefSeq genome assembly.
GAUGCGUUGGCCGAGUGGUCUAAGGCGCUAGACUUGAAUCCACUUUUCAAUAUCUAGUCUCUUCGGAGGCGUAUGUUCGAACCAUGCACGCAUCG